Molecule: ribosomal RNA, 467 nt
Filed under: uncultured bacterium
Lineage: Bacteria
Description: partial 16S ribosomal RNA
Rfam family: Bacterial small subunit ribosomal RNA
Source: RNAcentral
GAUGAACGCUGACAGAAUGCUUAACACAUGCAAGUCAACUUGAAUUUGGGUUUUUAACUUAGGUUUGGGUGGCGGACGGGUGAGUAACGCGUAAAGAACUUGCCUCACAGCUAGGGACAACAUUUGGAAACGAAUGCUAAUACCUAAUAUUAUGAUAAUAGGGCAUCCUAUAAUUAUGAAAGCUAUAAGCGCUGUGAGAGAGCUUUGCGUCCCAUUAGCUAGUUGGAGAGGUAACGGCUCACCAAGGCGAUGAUGGGUAGCCGGCCUGAGAGGGUGAUCGGCCACAAGGGGACUGAGACACGGCCCUUACUCCUACGGGAGGCAGCAGUGGGGAAUAUUGGACAAUGGACCGAGAGUCUGAUCCAGCAAUUCUGUGUGCACGAUGAAGUUUUUCGGAAUGUAAAGUGCUUUCAGUUGGGAAGAAACAAAUGAUGGUACCAACAGAAGAAGUGACGGCUAAAUACGUG